Osmia lignaria (orchard mason bee) is the source of this 612-nucleotide non-coding RNA. The record is from RefSeq and is a predicted model, not a curated record. NCBI's taxonomy places the organism in Eukaryota, Metazoa, Arthropoda, Insecta, Hymenoptera, Megachilidae.
CGAUCAAUCACAAAAUUAAACAAACUUAUGUUUAUUUAUACGCAUGCAACGCGAACGAAAUCGCUGGUAAUCGCUAGUAUGAAAUACAAGAGUUAAUGUAUAAUUAACUAAAGUACAUGCCCGGUGAUUCAUUGAACGAGAACGAAAUUCCGGGGAAACCUGCCUACCAGGAUGCUGCCAUGACUCACUCGAUAGAGAUGUGUACGAUAUUACACGCGUAUACCGACGAAAAGUUUCCCAGUGUGUCGAUUUGGGUCAACGUAAAUCGAAUUUCGAAGAACCCCUGGUCUUUACGCGAAACAAGUUAUUGCCGGUGGAUAUUAGAAACGCUUGAGAAAUUCAUAGGAGGCAUUAAUCUCGCGGAAAGUAUCCUUACGAUCAAUCCUGGCAAUCGAAUUGAUUAUGCAUGCCUGUAGCGGCUACCGAUAUUUCGGUAAAAUAACUCUGAUAAAAAUGUGUCACGCGUACAAAGUAAAUUCCCUCGUCCAAUUAGCCAACCUAGUGCUCAUGAAGGACAAGGGUACUUUGAAUUUCGCUGUUCGUUUCUCGCAGUUUCACAUCUCCCGGAAUUUUAAAUUAGAAAGUUAUUUACAAAGAGUGGCAAAGGAAAUU